Molecule: long non-coding RNA, 1632 nt
Organism: Nerophis lumbriciformis (worm pipefish)
Lineage: Eukaryota; Metazoa; Chordata; Actinopteri; Syngnathiformes; Syngnathidae
Source: RefSeq, a predicted model, not a curated record
GGACUUCUGGAGGACGACACAGAAUAUUUAACACACUCAGUAACUUUAAACUAGAUGCCUAACAUAAAGUAAUUGUGAAUUAAUUGUAUAAUAUUUUCAUUCAUCUGCUAUUCUCAUUCAGGGUCAUGAAUAAACUUCAGAUAUCCAUCCAUCUAUUUUCUACCGCUUGUCCCUAUUAGGGUCGCAGGAGGUACUGGAGCCUAUCUCAGCUGCAUUCGGGCGGAAGGCAGGUUUAGCCCAGAAAGUCCUUCAUAUGGACUAUGGACUAUGGACUGGACUUUCACAAUAUUAUGUCAGACCCACUCGACAUCCAUUGCUUUCGGUCUCCCCUAGAGGGGGGGGGGGUUACCCACAUAUGCGGUCCUCUCCAAGGUUUCUCAUAGUCAUUCACAUCGACGUCCCACCGGGUGCUGCACAGAUGUUUCUGGAUUAUGAGUCAUGGGGAAGGCAAAAUAAUUGUCAAAGGAUCUGCGAGAAAAGGUAAUUGAACUGCAUAAAACAGGAAAGGGGUAUAAAAAGAUAUCCAAGGAACUGAGAAUGCCAAUCAGCAGUGUUCAAACGCUGAUUAAAAAGUGGAAAAUGAGGGAUUCAGGUAGACCAGCAAAGAUUUCAGCCACAACAGCCAGGAAAAUUGUUCGAGAUGCAAAGAAAAAAUCCACAAAUAACUUCAGCUGAAAUACAGGACUCUCUGAAAAAUGGUGGUGUGGCUGUUUCAAGAUGCACAAUAAGGAGGCACUUGAAGAAAAAUGGGCUGCAUGGUCGAGUCGCCAGAAGAAAGCCAUUUCUGCGCAAAUGUCACAAAGUAUCCCGCUUACAUUACGCCAAACAGCACAGAGACAAGCCUCAAAACUUCUGGAACAAAGUCAUUUGGAGUGAUGAGACCAAAAUUGGCCACUAAUAUCAUCAAAAGAUUCAGAGAAUCUGGAGAAAUCACUGCACGUAAGCGGCAAGGCCGUGACCUUCGAUCCCUCAGGUGGUAUUGCAUCAAAAAGCAACAUGAGUGUGUAAAGGAUAUCACUAUAUGGGCUCAGGAACACUUUAGAAAACCACUCAAUAACUACAGUUUGUCGCUCGAUCUGUAAGUGCAAGUUAAAACUCUCCUAUGCAAAGUGAAAGCCAUUUAUCAACGACACCCAGAAACGUCGCCGGCGGCUUCGCUGGGCCCGAGCUCAUCUAAGAUGGACUGAUGCAAAGUGGAAAAGUGUUCUUUAGUCUGACGAGUUCACAUUUCAAAUCGUUUUUGGAAACCGUGGACGUUGUGUACUGCGGACCAGAGAGGAAAAGAAACAUCCGGAUUGUUAUAGGCGCAAAGUUGAAAAGCCAGCAUCUGUGAUGGUAUGGGGGUGUAUUAGUGCCCAAGGCAUGGGUAACUUACACAUCUGUGAAGGCACCAUUAUUGCUGAAGGGUACAUACAGGUUUUGGAGCAACAUAUGUUGCCAUCCAAGCAACGUCUUUUUCAUUGACGCCCCUGCUUAUUUUAGCAAGACAAUCCCAAGCCACAUUCUGCACGUGUUACAACAGCGUGGCUUAGUAGUAAAAGAGUGCGGGUACUAGACUGGCCUGCCUGUAGUCCAGACCUGUCUCCCAUUGAAAAUGUGUGGCGCAUUACGAAGCGUAAAAUACCACAACGG